AAGAAAGCAAUAACAAAAUUAUGUAAAUUAUGUUAUAAAGACACAAUUGCAAAAGACAUUUAUUCGGAUUACUAUUAUUAUAUCAAAAAUAUUACAACAGUUCAAAAAAUAAACCGAAAAUUACAAUGGUUCGUCAGGUAAACUAAAUAUUGCAAUAGUUUAAUGAAACAGUUGCAAAAUGUAUCUCAAUAUUUGUUUUAAUGGUUAAAAAUUAAACAAUAUUAUGAAAAGUUAUACCAAGAGAUACGAUCGUAUAUGUUAAAUAUACCGAAAGUUGCAAUAGUUCAUCAAAUAAACUAAAAGCUACAACGGUUCAUAAAACAAAAUCAAAAGUUGCAAUGAUUUAUCAAAAACAUUCUUUGAUUCUUCAAGAACAAUCUCAUCAAAAUUAUUUCUCACAAUGACCUACACAUCACCGUCGUUUUGCGUUUCAUUUAGGAGCAAGUGAAUUAGUAUUGUAUGAGGGAUGUUAGAUGUGUGUUAAAAUAUGUCGAACGACUUACAUUCUGGUAAUGGAUCUAACUUGUAGAAAAGCAUCAUUUUGUCUACUAAAAUGAAUUGUUACAACCAUUUAGUUGAACUAUUACAACAUUUGAUUUUUGAAUCGUUGCAACUUUUAGUUUAUUUUAUGAAUCGUUGUAAUAUUUAGUUAUCUACAGUUAUGUCUUGUGAUGUAACAUUGUAACUACAUAAAACAAAUUAUGUUUAAUUUUUAAUAGAGUUGUUGUAACCGUUUAACUGUUGUAACAUUUUGUUUAUUUGACCAAUCAUUGUAGCUUUUAGUUUUAUUUUAUAAAUUGUUGCAACCUUUUGUUUAUUUGAUGAAUCAUUGCAGCAUUUGAUGCAUUAAAUAUAUAUGAUCACAUCUCUUGAUAUAAAUUUUCAUA
This 887-nucleotide small RNA is filed under the name Arabidopsis thaliana (thale cress). RNAcentral's name for it is "ATSL100710". Lineage: Eukaryota; Viridiplantae; Streptophyta; Magnoliopsida; Brassicales; Brassicaceae. The record is from RNAcentral.